UCAUAUUUCCUAAGAUAGCAAACAAACAUAGAGAUCUACGUCAAGUUCACAAAAAUAGUCCUUGUUGAGGAGCUCUCUGACGUAUCAUCAUCACCUACACAUGAAGAAAAUCAAGCAUGUUCCUAUGGUGAUGAUGAUGAUGAUGGAUCAUUAACCCCAUCCAUGGUGUUUGACCAGAUCAUGCGACCUUCUCUGAUGCUACCAUUUCACAAACAUCUUUUACAUAGCCACUAUAGCAGCACCGGUUAUCGGAUGCCCCGAACUUCGAGAAAACGGUCUCCACGGCUACAAAUGUGAUACUUGCGGCUUCGCCGUCCACAAAGAAUGUUUAGAAUCAUCACCAGAGAUCAACCAUCCGUCUCACAAGAGACAUCCUCUCACGCUCCUAACACAUGGCUUACCACUAGUAGCUGAAGAUGACAAAUAUCGUCUAUGUGGAGAAAAGGUUGUAUCUACUUACCACGCGUCAUUAGCAUUAUACGCCAUGUACAUCGUAUCCCCCGCACUUAUUUUCUUGGUCAUGGAGAAUGGAAAUGAGGAGUUUGUCGCAGAAGAAUAGAUGGGAGAUAUGGGGCGUAUGCUUGCUUGAUUUGUCCGGAUUACGCAGUUCAUUCAAGAUGUGCCACGAGGAGGGAUGUGUGGGAAGGGAGAGAACUCGAGGACGAGCCUGAAGAAAAUGAUGAAUGUGAAGAACCUUUUAGAGUUGCGUUGCAGAGCAUGCGUCCGUCCUGUCUACUCUGACAUUUUCUACAGUUGUAUGCAAUGUGAAGAUUUUGUCCUCCACGAAACGUAUGCUAACCUUCCUCGAAAGAAGCGACAUGUACUUCACAAUCAUCAACUUACGUUAUACCUUGACGACAACAUAGUCAUGGAUUUUCUGAUGCUUAGUGGAGCAUUCUUAUGUUCUGCUUGUCACCGACUCUGUAGUGGUUUCAGGUACGAAUGUUGCAAUAUCAUAUUAGAUGUACGAUGUGGUUCGAUAUCCGAACCAUUUUUCUAUGAUUGUCAUCAGCAUCCUUUGUUCCAAAAUU
This is a non-coding RNA of Camelina sativa (false flax), 1031 nucleotides long. The record is from RefSeq and is a predicted model, not a curated record. Lineage: Eukaryota; Viridiplantae; Streptophyta; Magnoliopsida; Brassicales; Brassicaceae.